GAUGAACGCUAGCGGCAGGCCUAAUACAUGCAAGACGAACGGUAACUUUGGUAGCAAUAUUGAAGCAAGAGUGUCGUAAGGGUGCGUAACACGUAUGCAAUCUGCCCUCAACAGGAGGAUAGCUCCCCGAAAGGGGAAUUAACACUCCAUAAGAUUGUGGUCUGGCAUCAGACAGCAAUUAAAACUACGGUGGUUGAGGAUGAGCAUGCGCAUGAUUAGUUAGUUGGCGGGGUAACGGCCCACCAAGACGAUGAUCAUUAGGGGAACUGAGAGGUUGAUCCCCCACACUGGCACUGAGAUACGGGCCAGACUCCUACGGGAGGCAGCAGUAGGGAAUAUUGGACAAUGGGUGCGAGCCUGAUCCAGCCAUGCCGCGUGCAGGAAGACGGCCUUCU
RNAcentral lists this ribosomal RNA (395 nucleotides) under uncultured bacterium. RNAcentral describes it as "bacterial SSU rRNA". It matches the Rfam family "Bacterial small subunit ribosomal RNA", at positions 28 to 420 of the family's 1533-position model. The record is from RNAcentral.